CAAUAGCGUAUAUUAACGUUGUUGCAGUUAAAAAGCUCGUAGUUGGAUUUCUGGAGGGAGCGUCGGCCCGUAUUUACGAGUGCGUGACGUCUCUGUCCAUCCUUGCGGGAAGGCACGGCAUUGAUUUGUUGUGUCGGAUCGCAUCAUUUACUGUGAAAAAAUUAGAGUGUUCAAAGCAGGCUUUCGCUUGAAUACAUUAGCAUGGAAUAAUAAGAUAGGACUUUGGUGCUAUUUUGUUGGUUGAGCCUAAAGUAAUGAUUAAUAGGGAUAGUUGGGGCCACCUGUAUUGCGUUGUCAGAGGUGAAAUUCUUGGAUUUACGCAAGACAAACAGCUGCGAAAGCGUCUGCCAAGGAUGUUUUCAUUA
This 365-nucleotide ribosomal RNA is filed under the name uncultured eukaryote. Its description in RNAcentral is "partial 18S ribosomal RNA". It matches the Rfam family "Eukaryotic small subunit ribosomal RNA", at positions 592 to 975 of the family's 1831-position model. The record is from RNAcentral.